AUGUGUGUGUAUGUAUUAAAUCAUGUUACAAGAUAAGAUAAUCCAUGAUGUAAGAAGACAUCAUGAGAUAAUCUACAAUGUUGAGGGGAUAAUUUACAAUGUCGACGCGGAAAGCAUCAUGUCCGAGUAAUCCGUCAUUGGAAGAAUGUAAAUAGGCAAAUGCUAUGCUAUCAAGAUAUUUGACAAAUUUAUGCAACUUUGACAACAUAGAAACAAACCAUACAAGCAUUUAUUUUGGCAACAGAAACAAACUACAAGCAUUUUUUCCUUCACUACUUUUAUUUCGAAUUUUUAUCGAGAUUCAGGAUUAAUUUCGACUACGUUAGAGAAAUGAAUGCAGCGAUAUAACGGAUAUAAAUGAAAUUAAGGCUCUUAAAUAUAAAGAAUGAUUUUGGAAUUUGCUGAAUGAUUGAAAUCAUUUCUCUCCGUGACCGAAAAUGGAAACUUUUACGAGAGUGAAAGUUAUGUCGUCUACAAAAUGAAUUUGACAUUUAAUAUAUUAUAUCGGAAAUGCAGAAUAAGAUGCACAAGGAGCGGUCUGAAUGUGAGCGAGUUAUCAUGAAUGUCGUUGAGAUUGGAGAACGUUUCUCUCAGGCUAUAGCAAUUAUUUAAGUAUAUCAGUCGUAGGGAGAAUGAUUAAUCUAUAGAUCUAUACAUCGAUUCAAUAUAUAGAUAACUAUCAGAGACCCUAAGUUCAAUGUUAAACUUGUUUACACAUAUCUUAAUCGAUGAUCUUUAUCGUUUGGAAUGUAAAGUUAAUAUAACGAUAUUAAUGCUCGCAAUGAUCCCAGAUAGCACACAAAGUUCAAAAAGAAUUCAUUCAUUUAUUCAAUCGUAUGUCGAUCAAUUUUGAGUUCAUUUUCAGAUGCAAAAAGAAUUUUUUUCAGAAUUUUUAGAAUUUUGCAUCUGAAAAUGAAAUCAGAAUUGAUGACAUAUGAUUACUUUUUGUGCUAUCUGGGGUGGAUGUUCAACAAUCCUUAUGCGACUUGAAAGAAGUUCGUUGACGUAAAAAAAAUUCGUUAAGCAUGAAAGGAAAAAAUUUAAGAUUUCAAGAGCGAUUUGAAUAAUCUCAUUGAAAACUUGACAAGCUUUUCGAUCAAAUUAUACAAAUUGGAAUAUUUGCUAUCAUUUGUAAAAAUAAGAAUCGCCAGUCACUUGUCUCUGUA
This is a long non-coding RNA of Wasmannia auropunctata (little fire ant), 1166 nucleotides long. RefSeq lists it as uncharacterized. The record is from RefSeq and is a predicted model, not a curated record. The transcript has 3 exons. NCBI's taxonomy places the organism in Eukaryota, Metazoa, Arthropoda, Insecta, Hymenoptera, Formicidae.